RNAcentral lists this ribosomal RNA (454 nucleotides) under uncultured organism. RNAcentral describes it as "partial 16S ribosomal RNA". It matches the Rfam family "Bacterial small subunit ribosomal RNA", at positions 329 to 799 of the family's 1533-position model. The record is from RNAcentral.
ACGUACACUCCUGCGGGAGGCAGCAGUGGGGAAUAUUGGACAAUGGGCGCAAGCCUGAUCCAGCCAUGCCGCGUGAGUGAUGAAGGCCCUAGGGUUGUAAAGCUCUUUCACCGGAGAAGAUAAUGACGGUAUCCGGAGAAGAAGCCCCGGCUAACUUCGUGCCAGCAGCCGCGGUAAUACGAAGGGGGCUAGCGUUGUUCGGAAUUACUGGGCGUAAAGCGCACGUAGGCGGAUCGAUCAGUCAGGGGUGAAAUCCCAGGGCUCAACCCUGGAACUGCCUUUGAUACUGUCGAUCUGGAGUAUGGAAGAGGUGAGUGGAAUUCCGAGUGUAGAGGUGAAAUUCGUAGAUAUUCGGAGGAACACCAGUGGCGAAGGCGGCUCACUGGUCCAUUACUGACGCUGAGGUGCGAAAGCGUGGGGAGCAAACAGGAUUAGAAACCCUAGUAGUCCCAUG